Molecule: ribosomal RNA, 566 nt
Filed under: Lactobacillus sp.
Lineage: Bacteria; Bacillati; Bacillota; Bacilli; Lactobacillales; Lactobacillaceae
Description: bacterial SSU rRNA
Rfam family: Bacterial small subunit ribosomal RNA
Source: RNAcentral
GACAAUGGACGAAAGUCUGAUGGAGCAACGCCGCGUGAGUGAAGAAGGUUUUCGGAUCGUAAAACUCUGUUGUUGGAGAAGAACGUAUUUGAUAGUAACUGAUCAGGUAGUGACGGUAUCCAACCAGAAAGCCACGGCUAACUACGUGCCAGCAGCCGCGGUAAUACGUAGGUGGCAAGCGUUGUCCGGAUUUAUUGGGCGUAAAGCGAGCGCAGGCGGUUUCUUAAGUCUGAUGUGAAAGCCUUCGGCUCAACCGAAGAAGUGCAUCGGAAACUGGGAAACUUGAGUGCAGAAGAGGACAGUGGAACUCCAUGUGUAGCGGUGAAAUGCGUAGAUAUAUGGAAGAACACCAGUGGCGAAGGCGGCUGUCUGGUCUGUAACUGACGCUGAGGCUCGAAAGCAUGGGUAGCAAACAGGAUUAGAUACCCUGGUAGUCCAUGCCGUAAACGAUGAGUGCUAGGUGUUGGAGGGUUUCCGCCCUUCAGUGCCGCAGCUAACGCAUUAAGCACUCCGCCUGGGGAGUACGACCGCAAGGUUGAAACUCAAAGGAAUUGACGGGGCCGCAC